Molecule: ribosomal RNA, 728 nt
Filed under: uncultured Flavobacteriia bacterium
Lineage: Bacteria; Pseudomonadati; Bacteroidota; Flavobacteriia
Description: bacterial SSU rRNA
Rfam family: Bacterial small subunit ribosomal RNA
Source: RNAcentral
UGCAGUCGAGGGGCAGCGGGAGUGCUUGCACUCGCCGGCGACCGGCGCACGGGUGCGGAACGCGUAUGGAAUCUACCUCUUUCUGGGGAAUAGCCCAUGGAAACGUGGAUUAAUACCCCAUAGUAUUCAGAGAUCGCAUGAUCUCUGUCUUAAAGCUUUGGCGGAAAGAGAUGACCAUGCGUAUCAUUAGCUAGUAGGCGAGGUAACGGCUCACCUAGGCAACGAUGAUUAGGGGUCCUGAGAGGGAGAUCCCCCACACUGGUACUGAGACACGGACCAGACUCCUACGGGAGGCAGCAGUGAGGAAUAUUGGACAAUGGUCGAAAGACUGAUCCAGCCAUGCCGCGUGCAGGAUGAAUGCCCUAUGGGUUGUAAACUGCUUUUAUACGGGAAGAACACCACCCACGUGUGGGUGACUGACGGUACCGUAAGAAUAAGGACCGGCUAACUCCGUGCCAGCAGCCGCGGUAAUACGGAGGGUCCAAGCGUUAUCCGGAAUCAUUGGGUUUAAAGGGUCCGUAGGCGGGCUAUUAAGUCAGAGGUGAAAGUUUGCAGCUCAACUGUAAAAUUGCCUUUGAUACUGGUAGUCUUGAGUUAUAGUGAAGUGGUUAGAAUAUGUGGUGUAGCGGUGAAAUGCAUAGAUAUCACAUAGAAUACCAAUUGCGAAGGCAGAUCACUAACUAUAUACUGACACUGAGGUGCGAAAGCGUGGGGAGCAAACAGGAUUA